Molecule: long non-coding RNA, 565 nt
Organism: Arvicola amphibius (Eurasian water vole)
Lineage: Eukaryota; Metazoa; Chordata; Mammalia; Rodentia; Cricetidae
Exons: 5
Source: RefSeq, a predicted model, not a curated record
AAGCUCCAGUCUCUUGAUUCCUCCUUUGUGACUGCAUCAGGAUGUCUUCUUAAGUAGAAUGACCAUAGCUUCUCACAGGGCUGUAGACAUGAGUCAUGAGUCACCUGCUCAGAACUGAACACAUGACUCAGGACCCAGGGAAGCAGCAAAGGAAACACAGGGGCCCUCUCAGCUCCAUUUCAGUAACCCUGCAGGAAAUCAGCUGAUGGAUCUCAGCCUUCAUAAUGCUUCCCAGAAACAUCUCAAGAUCAGCAGGCACAGCCACUGCAAAAAAUUUUUAUCACCUCCGGAGAAGCUCAUCUCUGGGAUCCUGGGCAUUGUCUGGUUUGCUUUAUUGGUCACCUUGGUGAUAAUGACCAGAGUUGUCUUUCCAUAUACUGAACCAAAGGAUCAGAUCAAACCCUCCCUGAAUACAAGUCCGAAAGGAAUUUCUGAAAUCCCUCUCACAGUUUGCAUGGACUAGCAUCUUUCGGGAAAGCAGAGAUCACCUCUGGGUUUGGAAAAAUGACUCAACUUUCAAACCAAAGAUAAGAGAAGUUUCCCAUGCUGAACAAAACUGUGUCGU